ACCAUUUUUUGUUUAUAUAUUAGUAUUGCAUACUAAGAAAGGAAAAUUUUAUUAUAAAUAAAAAAUAGAAAUAAAAGGUAGAAAAAUAAUAAGAUUUAUUAUUACAAAAUAUAUAAUAUUAUUUUUAGUGUUGAUAUGUCGACUUUUAUUAUAACUGUAUUAAUUUAAGUAUUAGAAAAUUAUACUUUUUAUAUUUUUUAAUAAAUAUUUAUAAUUUGAAGUGUUUAAAUUUUAAGUUUUAUAACUUUAUUUAUUGUAGUAACAAUGUUUAUUUAAAAAAUUAAUAAUAUUUUAUUAAUUAUAUAAUCUUUUUAUAAGUAGAUUUAUAAAAACUAUGAAUUAAUUUAAUUUAAUUUAAUAACUAAAAUUUUUAUCAAAUGUUUUUUAAAGACUUAUGUCUUAAUUUAAGAUUAGCUUCUGCUCUAUGAUUUUUAAAUGGCAGUCUUAGCGUGAGGACAUUAAAGUAGCAAAAUAAAUUGUGUUUUUAAUGAAUUCCGGUAUGAAUGAAGUUAUUGGUAAAUUUUAUUUAUGUUUUUUUGUUGAAUUUAAUAUUUAUUUAAUAAAAAAUAAAUGUAUUUAUACAAAGAUAAGUCUUUGGAAAUUCUUCUUCUAUUUAAUUUUGUUAAAUUAGAGGGUUAUCUAGGGUAGAUUUUUAUGUAAUUUAAUUUACUAAUAAUAUACAAAUGAAUUACUCCAGAGUUAACAGAAAAUCAUGCUUUAUAUAGUUGUUAUAUUAAGGUAAGUUUUACAUCGAUGUUGUAUUUUAAUUUUUGAAAGAGGAGAAGGUUCAUAUAUUUAGACUGUUCUUCUAUUAAUUAAUUAAACGUGAUAUUAGUUUAAUUCAUCGUGAGAUAGAAUUGUUUAUCUUGAUAAUUAUUUAGUUUGAAAACGUUUAGUACGAAAGGAAAAUUGUAAAAGUUUUAAACUUUAGAGUAACUUAUUAUGA
This 946-nucleotide ribosomal RNA is filed under the name Allodiplogaster sudhausi. Its description in RNAcentral is "16S ribosomal RNA". The record is from RNAcentral. Lineage: Eukaryota; Metazoa; Nematoda; Chromadorea; Rhabditida; Diplogasteridae.